RNAcentral lists this ribosomal RNA (465 nucleotides) under Vreelandella stevensii. Its description in RNAcentral is "partial 16S ribosomal RNA". It matches the Rfam family "Bacterial small subunit ribosomal RNA", at positions 338 to 795 of the family's 1533-position model. The record is from RNAcentral. Lineage: Bacteria; Pseudomonadati; Pseudomonadota; Gammaproteobacteria; Oceanospirillales; Halomonadaceae.
CCUACGGGGCGCAGCAGUGGGGAAUAUUGGACAAUGGGCGAAAGCCUGAUCCAGCCAUGCCGCGUGUGUGAAGAAGGCCUUCGGGUUGUAAAGCACUUUCAGUGGGGAAGAAAGCCUUGGGGCUAAUACCCUCGAGGAAGGACAUCACCCACAGAAGAAGCACCGGCUAACUCCGUGCCAGCAGCCGCGGUAAUACGGAGGGUGCGAGCGUUAAUCGGAAUUACUGGGCGUAAAGCGCGCGUAGGCGGUCUGAUAAGCCGGUUGUGAAAGCCCCGGGCUCAACCUGGGAACGGCAUCCGGAACUGUCAGGCUAGAGUGCAGGAGAGGAAGGUAGAAUUCCCGGUGUAGCGGUGAAAUGCGUAGAGAUCGGGAGGAAUACCAGUGGCGAAGGCGGCCUUCUGGACUGACACUGACGCUGAGGUGCGAGAGCGUGGGUAGCAAACAGGAUUAGAUACCCUGGUAGUC